GAAGAAGGUGUACAUCGGUGCCUCUCCUCAGCCAAACCCUGUUCCCACAAUACCCCUCCCUCCGCUCCAGAUGGGUUGGACAGCAUCACUCUGACUCACAGAGAUGCUGGAAUAUUCCCAUUACUUGAUUGUUCUCUGUGGUUCUUAGGGUGUUGUGGGGGUUCCACGAGUUUCUGUGGAAUGAAUGAGUAUACUCAUGGUUAUUUACCUCAGGGACAUCCAGGUCUCAUGAACUGCAGCCUGGGCAACACUCUCAGCAGCCUUGGAUGUGGGCUCGGGGAGACAUGGAUGGUCAGGGUGUUCAGCCUUUCACCCUCAGCCCUCCUUGGGUGGCGCUGACUGUUCAGGUUUGGCGGGUCCUCCUCUGACAGCUGUCAACUUGCCCUUUGUCCACCAGUUUCAUCGCAGUGAAUUAUGGGCCUGUCUAUCACAUGCUCGAUUGCUUACUGAGAGGAUACAAAAGAAGAGGGUCAAUAUUUGAAAUGUUUCACUUUCAUCAUACAGAGGACUAGGUACCCUCCUGUGUCACCACCAUGAGGUUGUGAAAUAUCUGAUGAGCCUGACUCCAUGAUGGCCUUCCAUAGCACCUAGAGCUCAAAGCUGUGAAUUAUUACUAGACAAAGAUAGACUGAAGCCUGUGGCUAUGGGACUGACCUAUCACGAGGUUCCAACUUGAAUGCCCUGGAGGUGAUAAAUAGAUACCAUCCUGAACUAGACAGACUUCAUGGUUCCUGGGACAAGGGACCAGUGACCCGUCGCUGUGGGUCUGGACUUAUGUGAAUGUACAGUUGUCAGUCUGUGCUUAGAACUGACCAGAUGAGUUGCUGCCAUUAGGAAAUAAAACAAAAACUAUGUCACUCAACUAACCUUGAAUAAAA
Long non-coding RNA from Mesocricetus auratus (golden hamster), 878 nucleotides. RefSeq lists it as uncharacterized. The transcript has 3 exons. NCBI's taxonomy places the organism in Eukaryota, Metazoa, Chordata, Mammalia, Rodentia, Cricetidae. The record is from RefSeq and is a predicted model, not a curated record.